UCCCUGGUGAUCCAGUGGCUAAGACUCCACACUCCUAAUGUAGGGGGCCCAGGUUCAAGUCCUGGUCAAGGAG
RNAcentral lists this transfer RNA (73 nucleotides) under Bos taurus (domestic cattle). It matches the Rfam family "tRNA". From Rfam's summary of the family: Transfer RNA (tRNA) molecules are approximately 80 nucleotides in length. Their secondary structure includes four short double-helical elements and three loops (D, anti-codon, and T loops). Further hydrogen bonds mediate the characteristic L-shaped molecular structure. tRNAs have two regions of fundamental functional importance: the anti-codon, which is responsible for specific mRNA codon recognition, and the 3' end, to which the tRNAs corresponding amino acid is attached (by aminoacyl-tRNA synthetases). tRNAs cope with the degeneracy of the genetic code in two manners: having more than one tRNA (with a specific anti-codon) for a particular amino acid; and 'wobble' base-pairing, i.e. permitting non-standard base-pairing at the 3rd anti-codon position. The record is from Rfam by way of RNAcentral. RNAcentral also lists the same sequence under 3 other names. Lineage: Eukaryota; Metazoa; Chordata; Mammalia; Artiodactyla; Bovidae.